Mangifera indica (mango) is the source of this 459-nucleotide long non-coding RNA. RefSeq lists it as uncharacterized. The transcript has 2 exons. The record is from RefSeq and is a predicted model, not a curated record. Lineage: Eukaryota; Viridiplantae; Streptophyta; Magnoliopsida; Sapindales; Anacardiaceae.
UCACGACGUCAACAAGAUGCCCCAUCAACUCAGAUAUAUCCUGCCAUUAAUAAAAUUUCCUGUUAAUAAAUAAUCUUCCAUUUUCAAACUCCAUGUCAAUUAUAUACAGUUUGUUAAAUGAUUUGAAAAAAAAAGCCACCUCAAGGAAGUUUUUUGUGGACGGAGUGUAAUGAGGUGUUGUCAGUGACACCAAAUCUCCAAAGGUAUUUCAGCUGACCAGGCCAACGUUUAUGGGAAGCAAGCGCAAUUUGUUAGAAGUUGAGGGCGUGGUAGAUGAAAGCGUUAAAAAUUGAGAGACAAGGUGUGACACAUGAAAUUCCAAGAUUGUUAAGAUUCAUUGCAUUCUGAAAUUUAAUUAUUGGAUAAGAUUCAUUGUAUUAAGUUGUUUGUUGAGAUUAUAUUGUAUGGUGAUAAUCUAAAGAAAACAGUUUUAAUGUGUAAUCAAAAUGUAUAAAUAUA